This 41-nucleotide ribosomal RNA is filed under the name Hennediella polyseta. RNAcentral's name for it is "partial 18S ribosomal RNA". Lineage: Eukaryota; Viridiplantae; Streptophyta; Bryopsida; Pottiales; Pottiaceae. The record is from RNAcentral.
CGUAACAAGGUUUCCGUAGGUGAACCUGCGGAGGAUCAUUG